This 73-nucleotide transfer RNA is filed under the name Isosphaeraceae bacterium. Its description in RNAcentral is "tRNA-Val". It matches the Rfam family "tRNA". Rfam says of the family: Transfer RNA (tRNA) molecules are approximately 80 nucleotides in length. Their secondary structure includes four short double-helical elements and three loops (D, anti-codon, and T loops). Further hydrogen bonds mediate the characteristic L-shaped molecular structure. tRNAs have two regions of fundamental functional importance: the anti-codon, which is responsible for specific mRNA codon recognition, and the 3' end, to which the tRNAs corresponding amino acid is attached (by aminoacyl-tRNA synthetases). tRNAs cope with the degeneracy of the genetic code in two manners: having more than one tRNA (with a specific anti-codon) for a particular amino acid; and 'wobble' base-pairing, i.e. permitting non-standard base-pairing at the 3rd anti-codon position. The record is from RNAcentral. Lineage: Bacteria; Pseudomonadati; Planctomycetota; Planctomycetia; Isosphaerales; Isosphaeraceae.
CGUCCCGUCGUCUAGCGGCGAAGACGCCUGUCUUACAAACAGGUUAGCGCAGGUUCGAGUCCUGCCGGGACGA